This is a long non-coding RNA of Homo sapiens (human), 485 nucleotides long. RefSeq lists it as uncharacterized. The transcript is spliced from 4 exons. The record is from RefSeq and is a predicted model, not a curated record. Lineage: Eukaryota; Metazoa; Chordata; Mammalia; Primates; Hominidae.
AGCAAUGCUAUCUGUACUUGUGGAAGCAGGAGACAACUGUAAGGAGAAGAAACCUCAUUGGCUCUUUAAUUUGCUCUUGCAGGGAAAAUAUAGAGAACGCAGGAAAACACCCAGAUUGAGAUUUGGCUGCCCAAGCUGCAAAUACUUAGGAAACCAAACAACUGGCCUGACCUCAAGCACAACCCAAAUUCUCGAACCUCAUAUAAAGUGUGAACCUAAGAUACUUAAGAGAAGCCACUAAUUUCUGGUUCAGAGUGAAAAUAAGGGCACCUACAAAACAGGGAGAGUGAGGAGUUGGGAUCUUUUCUGUUGUGUCUCAGAACUUCAGGGUUAAGACCCUUCCUGGGUGAUGGAUAAAGGAAGUCAUUGUCCAGAUGAAAGACUCAUGAACUUGGAGACAGGAAUGAAGCCAUUGAAGCAACUUGGACGUCGGGAAUUCACUGAAGACCAGACUAAAGAGGGGCUUGUUCUAAUAGAAAUUCAUC